CAUGAACUAGUCUGUGUCCAGACUCCACAGACCACCCGGCUUCACUUCAACUAUAAACAUCCCAUUCUUGUCUCUCCACCAGCAAUGAGUUAAUCUCCUUUCAACCAACACCUGUCCAGGAAAAUCAAGGAGCUGGAGAAAGGGGUGUAGCAAAGACCAGAGGAAAUAACAGAAUGUGGUUGAUUGAAAAAGGCAUGAAACCAAACCAAGAACCACACUGCGGGUAAGGAGCACA
Molecule: long non-coding RNA, 235 nt
Filed under: Rattus norvegicus (Norway rat)
Lineage: Eukaryota; Metazoa; Chordata; Mammalia; Rodentia; Muridae
Description: long non-coding RNA NONRATT032841
Source: RNAcentral